RNAcentral lists this ribosomal RNA (445 nucleotides) under uncultured bacterium. RNAcentral's name for it is "SSU rRNA". It matches the Rfam family "Bacterial small subunit ribosomal RNA", at positions 26 to 518 of the family's 1533-position model. The record is from RNAcentral.
AGAGCGAACGCUGGCGGCAGGCCUAAUACAUGCAAGUCGAACGGAUCCUUCGGGAUUAGUGGCGGACGGGUGAGUAACACGUGGGAACGUGCCCUUUGGUUCGGAACAACUCAGGGAAACUUGAGCUAAUACCGAAUGUGCCCUUCGGGGGAAAGAUUUAUCGCCAUUGGAGCGGCCCGCGUCUGAUUAGCUAGUUGGUGGGGUAAAGGCCCACCAAGGCGACGAUCAGUAGCUGGUCUGAGAGGAUGAUCAGCCACACUGGGACUGAGACACGGCCCAGACUCCUACGGGAGGCAGCAGUAGGGAAUCUUGCGCAAUGGGCGAAAGCCUGACGCAGCCAUGCCGCGUGAAUGAUGAAGGUCUUAGGAUUGUAAAAUUCUUUCAGCGGGGACGAUAAUGACGGUACCCGCAGAAGAAGCCCGGCUAACUUCGCGCCAGCAGCCGC